Molecule: ribosomal RNA, 253 nt
Filed under: uncultured bacterium
Lineage: Bacteria
Description: partial 16S ribosomal RNA
Rfam family: Bacterial small subunit ribosomal RNA
Source: RNAcentral
UACAGAGGGUGCAAGCGUUGUUCGGAAUUAUUGGGCGUAAAGCGCGUGUAGGCGGCUUUGCAAGUCGGGUGUGAAAGCCCUCAGCUCAACUGAGGAAGUGCGCCCGAAACUGCAGAGCUUGAGUACCGGAGAGGAUGGCGGAAUUCCCCAAGUAGAGGUGAAAUUCGUAGAUAUGGGGAGGAACACCCGUGGCGAAGGCGGUUCUCUGGGACGGUACUGACGCUGAGACGCGAAAGCGUGGGGAGCGAACAGG